Molecule: ribosomal RNA, 253 nt
Filed under: uncultured bacterium
Lineage: Bacteria
Description: partial 16S ribosomal RNA
Rfam family: Bacterial small subunit ribosomal RNA
Source: RNAcentral
UACAUAGGGUGCAAACGUUGUUCGGAAUUACUGGGCGUAAAGCGCGUGUAGGCGGCCCUGCAAGUCGGAUGUGAAAUCCCACGGCUCAACCGUGGAAGUGCAUUCGAAACUGCAGGGCUAGAGUCCUGGAGAGGAAGGUGGAAUGCUUGGUGUAGAGGUGAAAUUCGUAGAUAUCAAGCGGAACACCGGUGGCGAAGGCGGCCUUCUGGACAGUGACUGACGCUGAGACGCGAAAGCGUGGGGAGCAAACAGG